GGUUUGUGUUGCUGAGUCUUUAGUUUUCUAUGUUGUAUCUUAUGUACCAUUAUUAGUGGGUUUUACUUUUUCAUUUUUAGCCAUGGUGUUGUCAGUUUAUUUUCGAUCUAUGAGUUUGAAUGUCCCUCUUGUAUCUUUCACCCCUCAUUUAAAACAUAUUUACAAGAACAUACAAAUAAUGAAAACCAUAUGACCUUCAUCAACUUUAUUAAAACAUUGAAAACCAUAACAAGGCUGUCGUUUAUAACCAAAAUAAGACAUAAUACAACCAGAUGCUCUGCAGGGCACAGCUUUAUACGACCGCAGUGGUCGAACCCUGAACAGUUGGGGCAAGUAUGGACAUCAUAAAAUAUUAAAAUAUAAAAUGACAUACAGUCAUGGUUAAAAUUAAUAUUAAUAAACAGUUACUUCUAAAAAUAAAUUUACAGCUACACAUCUCAAGACAAUCAUCAUUUCUUAAUACAUAAUUUUCAAACAGUGUAAGAGAGGUAAUCAAGUAAUCAAACAUAAUUCUUUUUUAAGUAUUAGUUUAUGCUUGUGUUGUAAAAUGUUUAAAUUUUUCAGAUUUCUGUGAAGAGGCUUGAGUGUCCUUUAAGCACCUGCCCUUGGUGACUCCUGCAUAUGAACAACAAUACUAUUUGCUCAUAUGCAUCAGCCACGAGGAAGGACUUAACUCAAAGUUUUUUUGUUUUGUUUUUCUAUAAUGGAUGUGAUGCUGUGUCUGGUGCAUGGUCAAUAAUCACUAAACAUACAGGUUUUCAUGUAUUAUAAACUCAAUUUAUAUUUCAUGUUUUUUGUCAAACAUAUUUCUAUUUUUAUUUUUGUUUAUUGUCUAUUGCAAUUGUGUGAUAAAAAAAUCAAUGUACUGAUUAUGCCUGUAAUGGGUCCACUAUUGGAAAUAAAAUAUAUCUUACCUUAUCUUAUCUUAUAUAUAAGUGUUCUUUAAAUUUUAAUUGGAUUACCUCCCCUUCACUGAUUUUAAAUUUUCUAAAUUGUGCUUUAACCAGAAAAACCCUUGUUUUUCCCCUUUUUUGGCCCUAAUUGCUUUAUGAUUUGAACCAUACCCGCCCCCCCCCCUUUUUUAACCAUCCCUUUGUAGUAUGGAAACUUGUGGUAUAAUUUCAGAGAGAUUUAUACACUUAAACACAAGUUAUUGACUGAAAACUAAAAAAUGCUUAUUUUGGCCCCUUUUUUGGCCUCAAAUUCCUACACAUUUGGGACCAUAACCCUCAAAAUCAAUCCAAACUUCUACCUGUGGUAUUAAACAUUGUGGUACAAUUUCAGAGCAAUUAAAAUGCUUAUACACAAGUUGAUAUCCUGAAAGUAAAAAAAUGCUUCUUUUGGGGCCCCUUAUUCCAAAACGAUAGAGACCAUCAUCCCCAACUUUCCUUUUGAGGUAUUGAACCUUUUUAUAAAAUUUCAUAGAGAUCCAUUAACUUGAACUAAAGUUAUUGUCCAGACACCAAAUGUGUCUUCAGACGAGGAUGACAACGACGCAGACGACGACAUCAUACCAUUAUACGAACACAAAAAAAUUUUGCGGUCGUAUAAAAAUGAAUUUGUGUAUGCAUUUUAAUUUGUUUCCAAAGUCAAGCUGGAUUGGACAUCCAAAUUUUGAGGGUGUCAAAAUCCAAGAUUUGCAGAUGACUGUGUCUUAAAAUUUAUUUUAACAUCACAAAUGCCAAUCAACUUGAAAUAACUGCCAUACAUUUUAAUGCAGCAGACAUUUUUAGAUUUUAGUCACAACUAUCUGUUUUACAGAAACACAGUUACACUAAUUUCUAUCCUGAAAACUCUAUCUGCAACAGUAAAAUCAAUGAUUUAUG
RNAcentral lists this long non-coding RNA (1826 nucleotides) under Mytilus galloprovincialis (Mediterranean mussel). The record is from RNAcentral. Lineage: Eukaryota; Metazoa; Mollusca; Bivalvia; Mytilida; Mytilidae.